AAUCUCAAAAGACCCCUCAAAAGAUAUAAAUUCCAUCCAAUAUCAAAAAUAACAGACUUCACUCCAACCAAUUUGGAUUUACAUAAUUUUUGUAAUCACAGAAUUUUUUUAUUGAAACACAUACAACUCUCAAUAAACAACAAUUAUAAUCUUCCAUCCAUAAUCAAUCUUCUAAUAACUUCUCAUAUAAUUCAAUCACACAAUAUUCCAAUUACAUAAUCAAUAAUUCAUAAAUCGAUCUCUCAUUUAUUCAUUCGAUAAAUUUUUUCUCAAUAUUUAGAAAUUAUCCAUUACUUUUCAACAAGAAAUAAACAAAGAGGUAGUACCAAGCUUAUCCAAACUUAUGGCUAUCACAAUCUGGCCCUUACAUUAUCUUCUUCAACUUAUUAAUGUUUUAUUUCUAAAAUUUUGGAUUCUAACUAUUAUUCCCUACUUAACCAUUUUUCACAACUAAUUCAAUCAUCCAUCCUACUAAAUUACCUAUCUCAAGAAUGAUUAAUCUAUUUUAUCAAUAUCUUAGAAAAAAUAAUUUCUACCCCUUCUAUAUAAUACCACUCCU
Molecule: long non-coding RNA, 559 nt
Filed under: Physcomitrium patens
Lineage: Eukaryota; Viridiplantae; Streptophyta; Bryopsida; Funariales; Funariaceae
Description: long non-coding RNA (PPAT_LNC014354)
Source: RNAcentral